CGCAUGGGCGCAGCCUGAUCCAGCAACGCCGCGUGCGUGAUGAAGGCCUUCGGGUUGUAAACCGCUUUUCUCGGGGACGAUAAUGACCGGUCCCCUCGGAAAAACCCCCGGCUAAUUCGUGCCCAGCGCCCCGG
This 134-nucleotide ribosomal RNA is filed under the name uncultured bacterium. Its description in RNAcentral is "partial 16S ribosomal RNA". It matches the Rfam family "Bacterial small subunit ribosomal RNA", at positions 368 to 520 of the family's 1533-position model. The record is from RNAcentral.